GAUCAUGGCUCAGGACGAACGCUGGCGGCGUGCCUAAUACAUGCAAGUAGAACGCUGAAGGAGAAGCUUGCUUCUCUGGAUGAGUUGCGAACGGGUGAGUAACGCGUAGGUAACCUGCCUGGUAGCGGGGGAUAACUAUUGGAAACGAUAGCUAAUACCGCAUAACAGUAGAUGUUGCAUGACAUUUGCUAAAGGUGCAAUUGCAUCACUACCAGAUGG
Molecule: ribosomal RNA, 219 nt
Filed under: uncultured bacterium
Lineage: Bacteria
Description: partial 16S ribosomal RNA
Rfam family: Bacterial small subunit ribosomal RNA
Source: RNAcentral